AAGAGACGCGAGGAAAGUCCGGACACGGUAGGACACGGUGGUGGAUAACGUCCACCAACCUUUGAUUGCAGGUUAGGGCACAGUGCCACAGAGAGUUAGACCGCCGAUGGUUACGUUCGCGUAACACAGGUAAGGGUGAAAAGGUGCGGUAAGAGCGCACCGCAUGCUUGGUGACAAGCAUGGCUUGGGUAAACCCCACCGCGUGCAAGCGCAAGCAGUUCUCGGUUUGUUUCGGCAAACGUCCUUGUCCGAGGAAUGAGAACGGGUCGCGUGCAAAAGUUUGCUGGCAACAGUAGACGUAGAUGAAUGGUCGUUCACGACAGAAUCCGGCUUAUCGUCCACAGGCAAUC
RNAcentral lists this RNase P RNA (350 nucleotides) under Phycisphaerae bacterium. Its description in RNAcentral is "partial RNase P RNA component class A". It matches the Rfam family "Bacterial RNase P class A". From Rfam's summary of the family: Ribonuclease P (RNase P) is a ubiquitous endoribonuclease, found in archaea, bacteria and eukarya as well as chloroplasts and mitochondria. Its best characterised activity is the generation of mature 5'-ends of tRNAs by cleaving the 5'-leader elements of precursor-tRNAs. Lineage: Bacteria; Pseudomonadati; Planctomycetota; Phycisphaerae. The record is from RNAcentral.